CUUAUACUCCCUCAGUCCGGAAAUACUUGUCGAACAAAUGGAUAAAAAUGAGUAUAUCUAGAACUAAAAUACGUCUAGAUACAUCUAUUUCUCCGACAAGUAUUUUUGGACGGAGGGAGUACAUU
Molecule: non-coding RNA, 125 nt
Organism: Triticum aestivum (bread wheat)
Lineage: Eukaryota; Viridiplantae; Streptophyta; Magnoliopsida; Poales; Poaceae
Source: Rfam